This 1206-nucleotide ribosomal RNA is filed under the name Dechloromonas sp. CL24. RNAcentral's name for it is "bacterial SSU rRNA". It matches the Rfam family "Bacterial small subunit ribosomal RNA", at positions 305 to 1530 of the family's 1533-position model. The record is from RNAcentral. Lineage: Bacteria; Pseudomonadati; Pseudomonadota; Betaproteobacteria; Rhodocyclales; Azonexaceae.
CCGCCACACUGGAACUGAGACACGGUCCAGACUCCUACGGGAGGCAGCAGUGGGGAAUUUUGGACAAUGGGGGCAACCCUGAUCCAGCCAUGCCGCGUGAGUGAAGAAGGCCUUCGGGUUGUAAAGCUCUUUCGGCCGGGAAGAAAUCGCAUAGGCUAAUACCCUGUGUGGAUGACGGUACCGGAAUAAGAAGCACCGGCUAACUACGUGCCAGCAGCCGCGGUAAUACGUAGGGUGCGAGCGUUAAUCGGAAUUACUGGGCGUAAAGCGUGCGCAGGCGGUUUAGUAAGACAGGCGUGAAAUCCCCGGGCUCAACCUGGGAACUGCGCUUGUGACUGCUAAGCUAGAGUACGGCAGAGGGGGGUGGAAUUCCACGUGUAGCAGUGAAAUGCGUAGAGAUGUGGAGGAACACCGAUGGCGAAGGCAGCCCCCUGGGCCGAUACUGACGCUCAUGCACGAAAGCGUGGGUCCACGCCCUAAACGAUGUCAACUAGGUGUUGGGAGGGUAAAACCUUUUAGUACCGGAGCUAACGCGUGAAGUUGACCGCCUGGGGAGUACGGCCGCAAGGUUAAAACUCAAAGGAAUUGACGGGGACCCGCACAAGCGGUGGAUGAUGUGGAUUAAUUCGUAGCAACGCGAAAAACCUUACCUACCCUUGACAUGUCCAGAAGCUCUUAGAGAUUUGAGUGUGCCCGAAAGGGAGCUGGAACACAGGUGCUGCAUGGCUGUCGUCAGCUCGUGUCGUGAGAUGUUGGGUUAAGUCCCGCAACGAGCGCAACCCUUGUCGUUAAUUGCCAUCAUUUAGUUGGGCCAUUUAACGAGACUGCCGGUGACAAACCGGAGGAAGGUGGGGAUGACGUCAAGUCCUCAUGGCCCUUAUGGGUAGGGCUUCACACGUCAUACAAUGGUCGGUACAGAGGGUUGCCAAGCCGCGAGGUGGAGCCAAUCCCAGAAAGCCGAUCGUAGUCCGGAUUGCAGGCUGCAACUCGCCUGCAUGAAGUCGGAAUCGCUAGUAAUCGCGGAUCAGCAUGUCGCGGUGAAUACGUUCCCGGGUCUUGUACACACCGCCCGUCACACCAUGGGAGCGGGUUCCGCCAGAAGUAGGUAGCCUAACCGCAAGGGGGGCGCUUACCACGGCGGGGUUCGUGACUGGGGUGAAGUCGUAACAAGGUAGCCGUAGGGGAACCUGCGGCUGGAUCACCUCC